UUUUUUCUUUUUCUUUUUUGGCUGCACCUGUGGAAUGCAUAAGUUCCAGGGCCAGGGAACCCACACCACAGCAGUGAUAAUGAUGGAUCCUUAACCCCCUGAGCCACCAGGGAACUCCAAAUAGGUUUCUUACUCUUUAUUGUAAAAGCUCAAAAUUAUGCCUAUACAAUGUUGAUAAAAAAUAUUACUAUGAUGAAAUAUGCCUUCCCUCCCAAAUUUCACAAUAAACAAAGGUCAAAAUCCAGUUGACUUUCUAAAGUAGGACAAUGAUGUUUAGACUAUAAUAGCAGGAAAAAACUAGUUAGAAUUUCAUGAUAAAGCUCUUUAAAACAGCUUUAUCUUAUCUUAAAAAGCCCUAAAGGGGAAUACUUAUUUGCUUUCAUAUUACUAAAAGGACUCUUGCUUUUAUAUGAAAACUAGUUCUCAUUUUUAAUGCACUAAUUGGCUUAAUACCACUGAAGCUUCAAAACCAUUCUGGGCAUCAUCUUGCUUUCCUAAUUAUUAUUAUUUCAUUGCUACUGAGAUUCUAUAAUAUGCUAGAUAUUAUCUUCUUAGUUCUUACUAAAAGUUAAUAAAAAUAUAAAGAUUCUCUACCCUUUUGGUGACUCCAGCACUUAAUUAUCUUAGCCAUUAACUCUUGUCAAAGUCAUUAUCACCUUCUGGAUUUCCUUUAUAUACUAGAUUUGAAGUUAACUGGCUAGAAUAUUGAUUAGAUGGUAGACUGCUUAAGAAAAAGAUUCAUCUUUUUCACAUAGAAGAUGCUUAAUAAAUGUUUAUUGUAUGAAAGAAGGAAUAGAUAAUUUUUUUGCAUAGGUUUAGCAUAAAUUUAGUUUUUAGAAAAAUGGAUUUCAUGCUUACAUUUUCCCCUACAAUUUCAUUCUGAAUUGUGUUGUUUGAGAAGGUAUAUUUUUCAGGGGUUUUUUUUGUGGGUAUAAAACAAUAUAAAUCCUACCAAUUCUAUAUAUCAAUUAGAUAAAGAUGAAGAAAAUAAUUUUCAUGAAUACAUAUUUUAUUAGGUUUAGGACACAAAUAAGAAGGAUCCAAAGAGAGAAAAUCUAUUAAUGCUGGCUGUAAUUAUAGACUUAGCUUCUCAUCCUAUGAACAAACUGCAUCAGUUCAUAAAGAAGGGUUUGGGGAGUUACUAAAAACAAUGUUGACAACAUACAGCAUUUCCAAAGAAAUGUGGGAUAAAAGGAAAGCCCAAAGUUGUUGAGACUAAAUCAAACUACUAAGGAGAACUGCAAAAACAAAUCACCUGACUCCAAAGGGAGAAACUGGGAAAAAUAAAGGUAUAAAUGCCAAAUUAAUAGAACUAUGCACUAAAAAGGGUAAAUUUUAUUCUAUGUAAAUGAUACUUUGAUAAACCAGACUAAUAAAAGGCCUUUUUAAGGUACUUAAUGUCACUAUUAAAAAUUUUCCCCAUUACUAUGGCCUCAGUAAAGUCCUGGAACUCAUGACCAGAAGGAGUGAUUCUAAAAUUAAAAAUAUUUGUAUUAAAUUUAAGAGUACAGACUUUGAGGUCAGAUAAAAAUGGAAAUCUGAAAAUGUUAUGUUACUUUGGGCUAAUUAAAAAAAAAAAAAAAGCAGUGACUAUACCAACUUAUCCACUAGUAAAACUCAGAAAAGAGUAGAUAUGUGAUAGGGUUAUUGUGAGAACUUAGCAUAUUAACAUAUAUGACACAUUUAACAUACAGCCUGGAACAUUUUGAAUCAUAUGUUACUUUCUGCUAGGGCAAUCAACCAAGGCUUCACAGAGAAGAGCCAGUAGAUAGAACAUUACUGGCAAAGAGAAGACAAAGAACAAAGGGAUUGAGACAGACAGGAAAAACAGAUGUUGCAGUUUGAAUGGAGAACUAGAUCUCUGAAAAGGAGAAAGAGAAGAUACAUCUAGAAAUGUGGGCUCUCACCAGAUGGUUGAUGGUGUUAAAUGUUAUUUUAAGGAGUUUGGAUUUUAUUCAAUGGGGAAUCAAAAGAGAUUAACCAUUCUGGAGUAAUAGAAUGACAUGAUUUAAAUUGUACUUCAGGAAGAUUAAUUUGGCAGCCAUCUAAAAGCACAGAUAAAGGUGAGAAUGGCUAGAUGUGUGAAGUCUGUCUAGGAAGUUAAUACCGCACAUAAGAGAUAGUGAGGUCUUAAAUUAGAAUGGUAUUAUGGUGGUGAUAUUGUAACAAUGCAAAAGGUAUGGAUUUGGGAGAUGCUUUGUAGGUAGAAGUGAUAGGAUUUGGGCUUGGAAAUGGAGGGGUAGUAAGGAGCAAAAUAGAGAAAGAAGUCAAACUGUUUCUGAAGUUUACAGCCUAGGCAUUUUAGAGGGUUCUUAAGCUAUUAAAGAGAUUUUAUUGGAAGAUUAUGGGUUCUGCUUAGGAUACUUUGUGUUUGAGAUACAAACAUGAGAAACAUCCAAGUGGGAUUAUUGGCCCAUCUAUUGUAAAUACAGGUCUGGAACUAAUGACAGAGACCGUGAUAAUAGUUUUGGCAUUUUUCUGGUUUAUAAAGAUGAUUGAAGCAGAGGGCUUAGGACAGACCCUUGAGGGAUUUUUGGCAUUUAGAAGACAAAAAGAGGAAGCCAGUGAAACAGAGAAGAUAGCAUUUUCUGAAAAGCCAAUUUCAAUAAAGCCGGGAGCUUGAUUAAGAGAAGUUCAAGGAGUUCUCAUCACAGCUCAGUGGUAACAAAACUGACUAGUGUCCAUGAGGAUGUGGGUUCAAUCCCUGGCCUCGAUCAGUGGGUUAAGGAUCCAGUGUUGCUGUGAGCUGUGGUAUAGGUUGCAGACGUGGCUCGGAUCUGGCGUUGCAGUGUUUGUGGUGUAGGUGGGCAGCUCCCUUUUGACCCCUAGCCUGGGAACUUCCAUAUGCUGCGGAUGUGGCCCUAAAAAAAAGACAAAAACAAACAAACAAAAAACCCCAGAAAUUCAAGAGCAUGAGAGAGAGACGGAGAGGGAGAGAGAGAGAGGAGAUGAUGGUGUGGUGACAGAAGAUUGAGAUGACUCAUGCAAGAAGAAUAAACACUAUUUUCUUGGCUUCUGUACUUCUGUGCCCACCUAGUUUUCCUCUUACUUUUCUGACCAUGUGGAUUUCUAACCACCAAACCAUUCACUUUUUCUCAGUCAUCAUUGUAGAUAACCUCUCAGUAACAUCCUAUGAUCUCUUGAAAGUCCUUAACUAAUAUCUUCUGUGUAAAUAAGGUACAAAUCUAAAUUUCUAACUCUUAUGUUUUUCCUAAAUCCCAGUCUUUCAUGUCUAACCAUCCACACAGUCAUUUUCACUUGUCUGUCUACCCAACAGUCAAACACACCAGGGCCUAAUAGUUCUCCUCUUUCCAAGUACAACUUCUAUUCUGGCUGCAUUUCAUCACCUCUCAAUUAUAUGGAUAUUUCAUUCGGUACUAAGUAUUAAUCCUAUCAGUUGGAUAUAGAAAGAAAUGGAGAAUAUUCUUAGGAGAGUAAACAUAAUGUUGAGUAAAGGAAAUGACUUUACAUCAUUAAAUGACUUUAAUGAUGUAUCAUAUAUGAUGUAUCAUAUAUGAGAUAUUACUAAAGGAAUUGAUAAUGCUUUGUGUGGAAACGAGAUUUAGAGGGACUUGUGAUAUCUUUAAAUACAUAAAGAAUAAUCAAAAGAAUGGUAAUUUAAUUUUUAUAGUAUAGCCCAGUCGGGCACAUUAGGACCAGUGGGUGACAAGAAGAUGGAUUUAUGCUCAAUGUAAAAAGAAGUUUCUUAUAGUCAGUGUUGUCAAAAGGUGAACUAGGUUACUUCAGGAAAAGGUGAGUUUUCUGUCAUCAAAGAUUUUAAAUGUAUUCUGAGAAGAAUAUUAAGGGUUAAUUCAAACAUCAAUAAAAGAAUGUUGAACCACAUGACCUCUAGGGUGUCUUCCAAACCUCAGUAUCUACGAUUCUUUCUAAAGCAGACUUAGCCCAAUUUCUUUAACUUUACCAUAGGUUCCUAGUAACUAUGGUCAGACAUGAUGACUCAGAAUCUCUUGUGUUUAUAGCUUCCCAAUUCAAUUCCUUUGUUCAGGGUUUGUCCUUUUCCUGAAAUUAUCCUUGGAUGACAUACUCCACCAGCUUGAACUGUACCUAAUUAUGCUUCCCUACUGAAUGUCUCUCGAUUUAUGUAUAUUGUCCUUAUUAUCCAAAGUACUAGGAAUGAUGUUUUUAAAUAAAGAGUGGAAAUGAACAUAACACAACACUGAAAAAUCUUUGUCUAUUUUUUUCUUGCUUCCUCCCUCCCUUCCUUCCUCUCUCUCCCUCCCCUCCCCUUCCCUCUUCUCUUUUUCUUUCUUCCUUUCUUCCUUCCUUUUUCUUUCUUUCCCUUUCUCUCUCUCUCUCUUUCUUUCUUUCUUUCUUUCCUUCUUUCNUAAAUACAGUUGACUGGAGCAAGUUCCAGCAGUUCUAGUUUUAAAGGAAGGAAAGAAGGACAAACUGAAAUAGAAAGAAGACACCAUUUUCGUAGCCUUGAGGAACAGGAUGAAUUAAAUUCACUUUAGGUUAUUAAUAAAUUGGUAGAUGUUAUGACAGAUGCAAUAUCUAUCAUUUCUGAGUACUCAUAAAAGGUAAAAUCCCCAAAGACACAGUUCUGGGAUUUGGAAAGGAUUUGAAAGGGCAUUUGUCUUAAGGCCAGGAAGGUACAGCCAGUCCCUUCUUAUGGGAGAGGCAAAAGCUAUACCCCCUAUAAAAAAGGGAAGCAAAGGACAACUUUGGUAAUAUGUGGAUCUUUUUAAACAUUGGUUCCCAGUAAGAAUGAGGGAUUGAAAUAACAUUUUAAUGUUUACAAGUUGCUUUUUUUAUGUACAACUUGUCGUCUGAUUAUCACAACAAUGAGGUAAGCAGAUAUUCUAACCCUCAUUUGCUGAUAAGGAAACUCAAAGUUAGUGAGGUUAAAUCAUCAGGAUCUUUACAUUUUAAUCCAGUAAUCUGCCUUUCUCCCCCAUGUAAAAAACACCACACGCGGUGAUUUUCUAUGAAAUUUCGAAAAGCAAUGGCAGACAAAGAAAGAAAUUUUCUUCUCUCAAGAUAGUGGCAAAUUACAAGGAGAAAAUAAGCUCAGAAUUGCAGUAUUAUUAAUAGUAUUCCUACUAAGUAAACAAACUCUAUCCUUUGAAGAUCUCAUCUAAUGUAACAAGCACAAAUCUCAUCCAAUUUCACAGAUGGGAAAAUGAAAAGGAGUCAGUGAAUAAAAAAUAGGAAUGGUUAUUAAAAAAAAGAAAAAGAAAGGAAAAAAGAAAAUAAAUAGGGCUUAGUAGCAUUGCUGAUGGAGGCUUGAUUUUGAGGAAGAAGGAACUGUGAGAGACUUGGUACUACCAUAAAACAAGUUAAAGUAAUAUAAUGUCAAGAUUUGAUUUUGCAAUUAGCAAGAAAAUGGUGAUUGUGGAAUUUAAUAGAAAGCAAAGGAGGUGGGUAAGGAGAUGAAGUCCAUUAUUUUGAGAGAUCUGGCCCAAAUGAAAAUAUUUGUUUAUUGGUAGAAAAGGCAACAUCGUGAAACAGGAAAAAAGAAAUCAGUAAAACUGAGUCGUAUGUAUUUAAGGCAGAGAAGUAAGAAUGAAGAGAGAGAUAACAAAAAGGCAAAAGAAGAUAAAUACAAGAGGGUAAAAGAAGUAGAAUGUUUAGAAGAUAGAAACAACAGCACAAAGAUGAAGGAAGAAAGAAAAGACUAUGCAGCUGGUUUAUUAGAGGUCUUUCAUCAAUCUUACAACAUUGUUUAGCUGCUACUAGUAUUUGUUUUAAGAAGGAUAGUUUAAAGAGGAGAAAAGGGAAAAGGAAAAUGUUGAUGCCUAAGUUAUGGAGUUUACAUGGCAGAAGGAAAUGAGAAGAAACCGGAAAUACUGUGGGAUUUUUAAGCAUGAAAAUAAAGGGACAUUCUUAUAUCCAUUACGGAAUGUAUAUGAGAUACUUCAAAAGAGUUAGGUACAAGUACUAAGCGGCAGCAAGGAUUCAGUUGAUAUAGGAAAGCCUAGCUUUGAUGGUUCUAAGAUUUUCUUUAGAAGUAACUUUGGGCCCAGGAAUACAAGCUGAAAUUAAAUAUGUCCUGAUUUAUUGUCCUGAUCAGAGUUUUAGAACAUAGUUUCUUGAUAUAACCUUGGCAUGAGCUUCCAAGAGAGACCAACAAAUAGCUAUUUCCUAAAGUCUUUAAGAAAAUAAUAAACAAUAAAGUUCCUUUGAGUACUGUGAUUCCAUGAAUAAUAAUUUUGAUCACCAGACAUCAGAUUUCUCUUCUCAAAAUAGAUCAAGAAAGGACAAGGAUUAUUUCUUCUAUUCACAGUAUAUUUUCCAUUAGUCCAAAUAUUAACCUCUACAUGCAAUAGGUGUUUAAUAAAUGUUUGCUAAAUUAUUUUAAGGCUUUGGAACAACUGAAGCACAUUUAAUGAACCUUGUGAUUUUUCUGCUUAAAGAUGCCCUUUCAUCAUUAGUAUAUUUGUUUACUAGUUUCCUUACACAUUGUAUCUAUUAAGCUAAGUUCAUAUACUCUUUGGCUCUAAAAUCAAUAUAUAUUUUACUUGCAGUAAGACAUGGUGCCUAUAAUUCACUGCAUCUUAUUUUAAGUUAAGCUUGUCAUAGAAAAUACAUAAGAAACCCUGUUAGAUUCUAAGAUUUUAUCCUAGAAUUGGGAGAGGUUUUGAUAUUUUAAAAAAUGUUCUCUUACAUUUUCAGACUAUUAACCUUUUGCCAGUCAUUUCCCUCUUAAGAAAUGAACACUUCAUUUAAACUGUAAAUUUAUUAUCAUUUAGUUUCAUAAUAAUAUCCCCAAAAAAGUAGAUUGUAAUUUUUUUUUCCUACUAAAUUUAGCUGUUGAAAUCUCCUAAUUUUUGGAAAAUUUCCACAUUUUCUCAGAACUUCUAAAGAGAUAAUGUUUUGAAAUGUCUCAAUUUCUUUUUUUAUCUAAAAGGAAAAUAUGCCCUAUAGUGAUCCCUUAGUUUGGAGUUUGUCUUUCUAUUAGUGUAUAAAAAAAUAGUCUUUAUUUUUACUUUGAGACUACAGAUAGUAUAAAUAUUUCCAUAGUGAUUUUCACAUAUAUUGCUUUCAAUCCUGGUUUUAUAAAAACAUAAUGGAAAAUAGUGGAAUACAUCAAGUUGGCUGGCACAUUUUGGAACUCAGAUAUCUUGAAUAAUUAUUGAGACCUUCGGGUUAUAAUAUGUUCCAAGUCUUUUGAGGUUCAUCCACUUCUGUUUUCCAUCUAAAGGAGACCUUGGUCCUUGUGACUCAGAAAGGACAAGCCCCAAGGUCCCAGCUGCGUUCCCCUUUCAUCUCCUAAUCUGAGUCAUCUCACUUACCUCCUAAAGCCAUAUAUCUCUUGCUGUUCUCUGUUGCAUGAAGUGGCCUUUAUGCUUCAGAAAAUUUAAAGGUCAUUUCCUUUCUUUGAAACCUUACUACAUUUUGUUACUUACAGUGUCAGUUUCAGUAAAAGAAAACAGAGAGGUGAAUUGUUAUUUUGCUGGUGAAGACCAGAGCUUGGGGAGUACCUCUGAGAGGUGUUUUCAAUCUUGGGUCACAACACCAGGGUCCCAGACUGAGUACCCUUUCCUUUUAAAAACCAAAAACUAUAACCCCACAAUAGCACGGUAUUCCUACUAUGAAAAGAAAGUUGUUCCAUAAGAACUGCUACAUCAUAGAAAAAACUUAUGAAGAAGAAAAAAGAUGAACUCACUGACGAAGCAACAAAAAUUAGCAUAGGGUUAAAUGGUUUUGCCUCCAAAACUGAGUUCUUAAGAAGAUUUUGGAAACUAAUAUCCACUAUAGCUUUACAGUAUGAUUUUUUUUCCCAUAAGGCAUUAGAUAUUUACCUAAAGUGGAGUCUUUUGUGGUAAAAACAAAGCAGCAGGUAUUAUUUAACAAAUUCACUUUUGUUUUUUUGUUUUGGACUUGUAUUCUUGGAUAGUAAGAUCUUAUAAAAAUUGCCUCUUUUCUAAAGCUGCAAAAUACAUUUUUUCCAAGUCUCUUAGCCCCGCAGUUUUGUAAUAUUGCACUCUGAUCCACUAUUUUAUAAUCAUUACAUAUCUGAAUGCUGCCUUUCAUCCAUUUUCUGACAUCAACUGGUUACUAAUCACAUGAAAUGAAC
This 8041-nucleotide long non-coding RNA is filed under the name Sus scrofa (pig). RNAcentral describes it as "lncRNA (ENSSSCG00060025826.1)". Lineage: Eukaryota; Metazoa; Chordata; Mammalia; Artiodactyla; Suidae. The record is from RNAcentral.